This 337-nucleotide unclassified non-coding RNA is filed under the name Marinobacter salarius. Its description in RNAcentral is "Long range pseudoknot". Lineage: Bacteria; Pseudomonadati; Pseudomonadota; Gammaproteobacteria; Pseudomonadales; Marinobacteraceae. The record is from RNAcentral.
ACUGAAGAAGGGGAUUAUCAGGUCAAACUACGCAACCUGGUACGUUUCCUUGAAAACGGGGACCGCGGCAAAAUCACUAUCCGCUUCCGUGGACGUGAGAUGGCACACCAGGAAAUUGGUAUGAAGCUCAUGAACAGGAUCGAAGUGGAUAUUGAAGAGCUUGCCCAGGUAGAACAGCGGCCGAAAAUGGAAGGCCGCCAGAUGACCAUGGUAGUGGCCCCCCGUAAAAAGAAGUGAACCUGAUCCGGUGCUGAUCCCCCGCGGUCGCGGGGGAUUUGUCGUUCAGGGGCACAUUGAUAUCACUUAAAAACAGAAUGCGGAGUUUUAAAAAUGCCCA